Pongo abelii (Sumatran orangutan) is the source of this 107-nucleotide small nuclear RNA. The record is from Ensembl. Lineage: Eukaryota; Metazoa; Chordata; Mammalia; Primates; Hominidae.
GUACUCGCUUCGGCAGCACAUAUACUAAAAUUUGAAUGAUACAGAGAAGUUUGGUAUGGCUCCUGCGCAAGCGUGACAUGCAAAUUCAUGAAGCAUUCCAUAUUUUU